UUUGAAUGAUGACUUGGAUUGUC
RNAcentral lists this non-coding RNA (23 nucleotides) under Cricetulus griseus (Chinese hamster). The record is from RNAcentral. Lineage: Eukaryota; Metazoa; Chordata; Mammalia; Rodentia; Cricetidae.